This 758-nucleotide ribosomal RNA is filed under the name uncultured Burkholderia sp. RNAcentral describes it as "bacterial SSU rRNA". It matches the Rfam family "Bacterial small subunit ribosomal RNA", at positions 88 to 842 of the family's 1533-position model. The record is from RNAcentral. Lineage: Bacteria; Pseudomonadati; Pseudomonadota; Betaproteobacteria; Burkholderiales; Burkholderiaceae.
GUGGCGAGUGGCGGACGGNUGAGUANUACAUCGGAACGUGUCUGAUAGUGGGGGAUAGCCCGGCGAAAGCCGGGGUAAUACCGCAUAUUCUCUACGGAGGAAAGCGGGGGACCUUCGGGCCUCGCGCUAACAGGGCGGCCGAUGGCAGAUUAGCUAGUUGGUAGGGUAAAAGCCUACCAAGGCGACGAUCUGUAGCUGGUCUGAGAGGACGACCAGCCACACUGGGACUGAGACACGGCCCANACUCCUACGGGAGGCAGCAGUGGGGAAUUUUGGACAAUGGGGGCAACCCUGAUCCAGCAAUGCCGCGUGUGUGAAGAAGGCCUUCGGGUUGUAAAGCACUUUUGUCUGGGAAGAAAUGGCUAGGGCUAAUACCCUUGGCANAUGACGGUACCAGAAGAAUAAGCACCGGCUAACUACGUGCCAGCAGCCGCGGUAAUACGUAGGGUGCAAGCGUUAAUCGGAAUGACUGGGCGUAAAGGGUGCGCAGGCGGUUUGCCAAGACGAAUGUGAAAGCCCCGGGCUUANCCUGGGAACUGCAUCCGUGACUGGCAGGCUAGAGUAUGGCAGAGGGAGGCAGAAUUCCACGUGUAGCANUGAAAUGCGUAGAGAUGUGGAGGAAUAUCGAUGGCGANGGCAGCCCUCCUGGGCCAAUACUGACGCUCAUGCACGAAAGCGUGGGGAGCAAACAGGAUUAGAUACCCUGGUAGUCCACGCCCUAAACGAUGUCAACUAGUUGUUGGGGAAAUUGAUCCUUA